CAGUGCUCUCAACCUAGCGGCCACUGCACAAUACAAAGAUGGCGCAAAGAUGCAAGGCAGGAAUCGCUAGUGCAUAGACCGAUAUCAAUCGCGUUUCGGACAACUAUCGGAUGCACACCCGCUGUAAAUCUACGAACUGAACUCCGAACAGUUAUAAGCAGUUACAAGUUACAAGCGCGUCUGACGACUGACGUCACAUCGAUAUGUCAACCAGUGCAUUCUUGGAAAUAGAGCCGUGAAGUUGACGACUUGCCGCGAGAUGCCGUUGCGGCGCCAUUUUCAAAAGCGUCAUUAGUUCUUAUUUUAUACAUUUCGUAAAUUUAUCUCUAUUUCUUGUCGGUAUUUACAUUAUCAAAGUUAUUUUUCUAAUAAAUAAAAGUUAAAAUAUUUAGUGUACUUUUGGUACGACGUGAAUUAAAUGCUAUAAUUGUUGUUGUUUAAAAUUUCCUGUAAUUUAAUAAGUACAUUUUUUAUCGCAUCUACUUGCAAUGUGUUUUCUAUUAAAAUUCUAUAUCUGUAUCUUUGCUGUAUAUUACACUUUUCAAAAGAUUUCAUAUUUUUGUGAUUGAUAUGAGACGUCAUAACUCGUCUCAGUAAUUGUUUGACACGCGAAGAUUGCUUAAUUAAUAUCAGUCCCUGUAAAAAAUAUUUGCUAGAAAAAUCGCUUUAUUAAGGAAUUGACAAUGAUCGAUGACGAAGACGUACAUUUCGAGAAAACUGAGUGUCACUAAUUGAUAGUAUUGCUAACGUUGCAGUGCCGUAAUUGGUCUCGAGUGCGAUUGUGAUUAAUAGGAAAAACCGAACAUGUAAACUUGAAAAAAUUACUGAUUCUGAACGAAUAUGUUGACAAGAAUCGAUAACCUUAUUUAUCAUUACAUUUACAGAAAAUACGUCACUUUGAAAUGCGGAAACGUUUGACGUCAUAAGCUAACUAGAUUGCCUGACAUAUCGUAAUGAGAAGUCAGUUCUGAAAAGUUCUUGAAAAUGGAAAAACCGAUUAAUUUAUCGCUUCCCGUUAACGCCAUACAUAUUAAAGAGAUUACAAGUAUUAUAUAUUUUUACAUAAAAGAUUUCCUCAAAGAGAGAAAAGAACAUUAACUUUGAAAUUGUUUCAUUGAACUUACAGUGUAAGAAUUUUGAUGAAUACAUUACAAUACAAAAUAGUCUUGAUGGAAGAAUGAACAUUUAAAAAUAAAUUAUAAAAUACUUAAUUCCUAUCUUGAAAUUUGUUAAUUAAUUAAUGUAUAUAAUUAUUUAUUACAUGAUAGCUAAGUAUAAUUUCUAUUAUCAUUAAAAAGUUAGUUAAAACAUUGUGUAAACUACGUAAACAAUGUAGUUGUAAUUAAAUCUAUCAUUUAUUAUCGCAAUAUGUUUCAACAACAAUAUAUAUUGGUGGUAUAUUAUAUCAUUAUUUCGGAUUACUCAACAAUUACUCAAGAUAUAACAGACAUAUACAAAGUUGGGUUUAUAUCUGAAUUACAAUAAAUAUAUGAAGCUCGUACAAGUAACUGUUCAAUUCAGUCAAAUUAAUGUAUAUUU
Linepithema humile (Argentine ant) is the source of this 1539-nucleotide long non-coding RNA. RefSeq lists it as uncharacterized. NCBI's taxonomy places the organism in Eukaryota, Metazoa, Arthropoda, Insecta, Hymenoptera, Formicidae. The record is from RefSeq and is a predicted model, not a curated record.